This 201-nucleotide ribosomal RNA is filed under the name uncultured bacterium. RNAcentral describes it as "partial 16S ribosomal RNA". It matches the Rfam family "Bacterial small subunit ribosomal RNA", at positions 524 to 724 of the family's 1533-position model. The record is from RNAcentral.
UACGUAGGGGGCAAGCGUUGUCCGGAUUUACUGGGCGUAAAGAGCGCGUAGGCGGCCAGAUAAGUCCGGUGUGAAAGUCACAGGCUCAACCUGUGAAUGCCGCUGGAAACUGUCUGGCUAGAGUCCGGGAGGGGCGAGUGGAAUUCCUGGUGUAGCGGUGAAAUGCGCAGAUAUCAGGAGGAACACCAAUGGCGAAGGCAG